This 497-nucleotide ribosomal RNA is filed under the name uncultured bacterium. RNAcentral describes it as "partial 16S ribosomal RNA". It matches the Rfam family "Bacterial small subunit ribosomal RNA", at positions 28 to 507 of the family's 1533-position model. The record is from RNAcentral.
GAUGAACGCUGGCGGCGUGCCUAAUACAUGCAAGUCGAGCGAACGGACGAGAAGCUUGCUUCUCUGAUGUUAGCGGCGGACGGGUGAGUAACACGUGGAUAACCUACCUAUAAGACUGGGAUAACUUCGGGAAACCGGAGCUAAUACCGGAUAAUAUUAUGAACCGCAUGGUUCAAAAGUGAAAGACGGUCUUGCUGUCACUUAUAGAUGGAUCCGCGCUGCAUUAGCUAGUUGGUAAGGUAACGGCUUACCAAGGCAACGAUGCAUAGCCGACCUGAGAGGGUGAUCGGCCACACUGGAACUGAGACACGGUACAGACUCCUACGGGAGGCAGCAGUAGGGAAUCUUCCGCAAUGGGGGAAAGCCUGACGGAGCAACGCCGCGUGAGUGAUGAAGGUCUUCGGAUCGUAAAAAUCUGUUAUUAGGGAAGAACAUAUGUGUAAGUAACUGUGCACAUCUUGACGGUACCUAAUCAGAAAGCCACGGCUAACUACGUG